Molecule: ribosomal RNA, 511 nt
Filed under: uncultured bacterium
Lineage: Bacteria
Description: bacterial SSU rRNA
Rfam family: Bacterial small subunit ribosomal RNA
Source: RNAcentral
GAUGAACGCUAGCGACAGGCCUAACACAUGCAAGUCGAGGGGCAGCACGGUGUAGCAAUACACGGGUGGCGACCGGCGCACGGGUGAGUAACGCGUAUGCAACCUGCCUACUACAAGGGGAUAACCCGUUGAAAGACGGACUAAUACCCUAUAACACAGGGAAUCCGCAUGGAUAUAUUUGUUAAAGAUUUAUCGGUAGUAGAUGGGCAUGCGUUCCAUUAGCUUGUUGGUGAGGUAACGGCUCACCAAGGCAACGAUGGAUAAGGGAACUGAGAGGUUGAUCCCCCACACUGGAACUGAGACACGGUCCAGACUCCUACGGGAGGCAGCAGUGAGGAAUAUUGGUCAAUGGACGAGAGUCUGAACCAGCCAAGUCGCGUGAAGGAAGACGGCCCUACGGGUUGUAAACUUCUUUUGUAAGGGAAUAAAUAGUCUUACGCGCUAAGACGUUGCAGGUACCUUACGAAUAAGGAUCGGCUAACUCCGUGCCAGCAGCCGCGGUAAUCACGAG